RNAcentral lists this ribosomal RNA (497 nucleotides) under uncultured bacterium. RNAcentral describes it as "partial 16S ribosomal RNA". It matches the Rfam family "Bacterial small subunit ribosomal RNA", at positions 28 to 507 of the family's 1533-position model. The record is from RNAcentral.
GAUGAACGCUGGCGGCGUGCCUAAUACAUGCAAGUCGAGCGAACGGACGAGAAGCUUGCUUCUCUGAUGUUAGCGGCGGACGGGUGAGUAACACGUGGAUAACCUACCUAUAAGACUGGGAUAACUUCGGGAGACCGGAGCUAAUACCGGAUAAUAUUUUGAACCGCAUGGUUCAAAAGUGAAAGACGGUCUUGCUGUCACUUAUAGAUGGAUCCGCGCUGCAUUAGCUAGUUGGUAAGGUAACGGCUUACCAAGGCAACGAUGCAUAGCCGACCUGAGAGGGUGAUCGGCCACACUGGAACUGAGACACGGUCCAGACUCCUACGGGAGGCAGCAGUAGGGAAUCUUCCGCAAUGGGCGAAAGCCUGACGGAGCAACGCCGCGUGAGUGAUGAAGGUCUUCGGAUCGUAAAACUCUGUUAUUAGGGAAGAACAUAUGUGUAAGUAACUGUGCACAUCUUGACGGUACCUAAUCAGAAAGCCACGGCUAACUACGUG